GCCCUGGUGGCCUAGUGGUAAAAGCGUUCGGCUCGGAUGCGGGAGGUCGCGUGUUCGAACCCAGGCCGAGUCA
This is a non-coding RNA of Potamilus streckersoni, 73 nucleotides long. NCBI's taxonomy places the organism in Eukaryota, Metazoa, Mollusca, Bivalvia, Unionida, Unionidae. The record is from the annotation of a GenBank genome assembly.